AUAAAACCAUUAUCGAAAGAAAUGAAAUAUCAAAUGGCGACAUGUUGUAAACACUACUCCUGGAAUAGUGCCUUCAUUCUGGUCGCCCUGUUGGUAUUAACGGCAAACAUGACGGCCGUUCACGCCAGAGCUUUGCAGUCGCAAGUAGUAGUUCUAGAUCAGGGAAGUAGAGAUGAUGAGCGAUCUGGCGGCGCCGCUAUAGCUUCAAUAUUGGUCGCCUCUUCAAGCAACGGCGGCAAUUAUGGCGCCGGCGAUGGUUCUUCAUCAGUUUGGCUACGAGGAUUGAUGUAUAAGUUGGCUUCCGGACCUAGCAAAAGAGGCCGUGGCCAUUAAUUCAAAUUCCUUCUCACUUUCUGUAAUAUUAUUAUUUAUUUUCCUUUUUUCUUUCUUCUUGUUAAAAUCCUCGAUGAUGAAGAUUAUAUACUUGUUGGUAUACAUGUAGUGAGUUUAAUUUCUAGCAACAGACAGUUUUUGUGAUACAGCAAUUAAUUAAUGAAUUCUUAGUGACACAUUCUUAAUUAUUGACAACUUACAUUUUCGUCCCAAACCUGUAGUUUUAGAGUUUAGAUUGCAGCGUAGCGCAGCGAUUACAAGAGCAUCCCAUUUCUUAAUUUUUCACUAAUAGUGAUUAAUUAUUGUAUACCCUCAGUACCGGGAUAGCAUGAUAUAUAAUAAUUUUGGACAAAUAUUGUUGAUAAUUUUUCAAAACUUCAC
Molecule: long non-coding RNA, 714 nt
Filed under: Linum usitatissimum (flax)
Lineage: Eukaryota; Viridiplantae; Streptophyta; Magnoliopsida; Malpighiales; Linaceae
Description: long non-coding RNA (LUSI_LNC006451)
Source: RNAcentral